UGAUCAGUGUGUCAUCAUUACAAGCUGGAUGCUGUGUCACAGUCUGCAAACAGAGAAGGAAAUUAUUGAGUUAACAGAUCUCCAAACCCAGCGUCAAAGAGCCAUCACACUCAAGAGGGCAGGGCUGAUUUAUCCGGUGAAUUCUCACAGCCUCUGCUUGCACAUCCUGCACAAAGCUCAAGCGGAUGCAUCUCCAGUCCAGCAGGGACAGCACAAGCACGUGUGAGUGGUUUCAGUCUCCUCAAGUCUCCCAUUUCAUUACUCCAGGGUAAUUAGGUUAUUUUCUCAUACAAAGCGGUUCAAAGCCAGGCAGUGCAAUCCUUCCCAGUACAAGUUCCAGAGCUCCAUGUGACGCAGCAUUCCCUGUCAGACGCGGCUGGGCAGUAGGUCUGGGCUGGGCAGAGCACACAC
This is a long non-coding RNA of Ficedula albicollis (Collared flycatcher), 411 nucleotides long. RefSeq lists it as uncharacterized. The record is from RefSeq and is a predicted model, not a curated record. The transcript is spliced from 2 exons. NCBI's taxonomy places the organism in Eukaryota, Metazoa, Chordata, Aves, Passeriformes, Muscicapidae.